Molecule: ribosomal RNA, 254 nt
Filed under: uncultured bacterium
Lineage: Bacteria
Description: partial 16S ribosomal RNA
Rfam family: Bacterial small subunit ribosomal RNA
Source: RNAcentral
UACGUAGGUGGCAAGCGUUUGUCCGGAAUUACUGGGCGUAAAGGGCGCGUAGGCGGCCUUCUAAGUCGAACGUGAAAUCCCUGGGCUCAACCCAGGAACUGCGUCCGAUACUGGGAGGCUUGAAUCCGGGAGAGGGAUGCGGAAUUCCAGGUGUAGCGGUGAAAUGCGUAGAUAUCUGGAGGAACACCGGUGGCGAAGGCGGCAUCCUGGACCGGCAUUGACGCUGAGGCGCGAAAGCCAGGGGAGCAAACGGG